CAGCCGCCACGGUAAUACGAAGGGUGCAAGCGUUAAUCGGAAUUACUGGGCGUAAAGCGUGCGUAGGCGGUUUGUUAAGUCUGCUGUGAAAUCCCCGGGCUCAACCUGGGAAUGGCAGUGGAUACUGGCAAGCUAGAGUGUGUCAGAGGAUGGCGGAAUUCCCGGUGUAGCGGUGAAAUGCGUAGAGAUCGGGAGGAACAUCAGUGGCGAAGGCGGCCAUCUGGGACAACACUGACGCUGAGGCACGAAAGCGUGGGGAGCAAACAGGAUUAGAUACCCCAGUAGUCCCUGUCUCUUAUAA
This 301-nucleotide ribosomal RNA is filed under the name uncultured bacterium. RNAcentral's name for it is "partial 16S ribosomal RNA". It matches the Rfam family "Bacterial small subunit ribosomal RNA", at positions 509 to 809 of the family's 1533-position model. The record is from RNAcentral.